UACCAGCACCCCGAGUGGUCGGGACGAUUAUUGGGCCUAAAGCAUCCGUAGCCGGUUCUACAAGUCUUCCGUUAAAUCCACCUGCUUAACAGAUGGGCUGCGGAGGAUACUAUAGAGCUAGGAGGCGGGAGAGGCAAGCGGUACUUAGUGGGUAGGGGUAAAAUCCGUUGACCCAUUGAAGACCACCAGUGGCGAAGGCGGCUUGCCAGAACGCGCUCGACGGUGAGGGAUGAAAGCUGGGGGAGCAAACCGG
Molecule: ribosomal RNA, 253 nt
Filed under: uncultured bacterium
Lineage: Bacteria
Description: partial 16S ribosomal RNA
Rfam family: Archaeal small subunit ribosomal RNA
Source: RNAcentral